AAAAAAGUAACCCCUAGAUUUUCGUGUUCAAUUUUGAUUAUCCGUCUUAUAUGAGAUUUUUUAUAAUUCAUAUUUUUAUUGUUGUUAGAUGAUAAAACAUAAUUAAUAUUUUAUGCGUGACUUGUAUUUUUAAUUUUUUUUAUAAUUUUUUUAAAUAAGACGAAUGGUCAAAUGUUGGGCAUGGAAAUCAGGGUU
This 195-nucleotide microRNA precursor is filed under the name Oryza barthii. RNAcentral describes it as "MIR812 microRNA precursor family". It matches the Rfam family "MIR812 microRNA precursor family". The record is from Rfam by way of RNAcentral. Lineage: Eukaryota; Viridiplantae; Streptophyta; Magnoliopsida; Poales; Poaceae.